This 424-nucleotide ribosomal RNA is filed under the name uncultured eukaryotic phytoplankton. Its description in RNAcentral is "bacterial SSU rRNA". It matches the Rfam family "Bacterial small subunit ribosomal RNA", at positions 358 to 795 of the family's 1533-position model. The record is from RNAcentral.
GGAAUUUUCCGCAAUGGGCGAAAGUCUGACGGAGUGACGCUGCGUGAAGGAUGACGGCCUGCGGGUUGUAAACUUCUUUUCUCGAAGAAGAAGCCCUGACGGUAUUCGAGGAAUAAGCAUCGGCUAACUCCGUGCCAGCAGCCGCGGUAAUACGGAGGAUGCAAGUGUUAUUCGGAAUGAUUGGGCGUAAAGCGUCUGUAGGCUGUAUAGAAAGUCUUUUGUUAAAUGCCUCGGCUCAACCGAGAUCCAGCAAAGGAAACUUCUAUACUUGAGGGAAGUAGAGGUACAGGGAAUUCCCGGUGGAGCGGUGAAAUGCGUAGAUAUCGGGAGGAACACCAAUAUGGCGAAGGCACUGUACUGGGCUUUACCUGACGCUCAGAGACGAAAGCUAGGGUAGCAAAUGGGAUUAGAUACCCCAGUAGUC